GGUAUAGCGCAGUCUGGUAGCGCACCUGCUUUGGGAGCAGGGGGUCGUGGGUUCGAAUCCCCCUACC
RNAcentral lists this transfer RNA (67 nucleotides) under zebrafish metagenome. It matches the Rfam family "tRNA". From Rfam's summary of the family: Transfer RNA (tRNA) molecules are approximately 80 nucleotides in length. Their secondary structure includes four short double-helical elements and three loops (D, anti-codon, and T loops). The record is from RNAcentral.